ACUGCACAGCUGGUCCUGCUGGUUCCAGGAAGGCUCAAAAAGAAAUGAAGGCAUCGGGAAGCUGUUGAUGUUGUGACCUGCUCCUGGGGCUCUCGUGCACACUGCACCUCUGCUCAGACAGGGCUCCGUUUCCUGAAGUGCUGGAAAAAUCAAUCGCAUGGAGGAGGGAGGAGGCAGAGAGGUCCCUGGGAGGCUGCUCAGGUGUUCCAGAUCUUGAGUACCUGUUAUGGGACGGAAACUGUGCUUGGUGUGGGAUGCCACUGUGACCAGGACUGAAAAGGCUGCUGCCCUCAGGAUCUUAAUUCUAGGAGGAUAAUCAAGGGAAACACUUCCUUCUGGAAGAGGAUGCUGGAGGCCCAGUGAAGUCUUUACAAGAAUUGCACACUCAGAAACUCUAGUGCUAGAGAUGCAUGCAUGCCAGAAACUCUAGUGCCUGCACCCAGCAAGUCCACACUUUACAGAUGAAAUUGGGGCCAAGGAAGAAGAAGGGGUUCAGCACGAUGAUGGGACCUGGCUGGGUUCCAGGCGGCAGGCCUUAUCUAGCUCUAAACAGGGUGAACUCUUUGAGGGAUGGGACCACAUCUGAUGUACCCUCCAGAUAUCACUGUGCUUGACACAAAGAAGGCUCUCAGGGGACCCACAGGAAUGAACCAUGAUGUUGUGGAGGAAGAGGGCAACAAGCCAAGGAAUGUAGCAGCCUCCAGAGCUGGAAAGGCAAGGAACCAGAUUCUCUUCUAGAGCCUCCAGAAGGAAAGCAACCAGCUGACAGCUCGAUUUGAGCCCCGUGACACUCAGGCCAGCCUUCUGGCCUACUGAAUUGUAAGAUAAUAAAUCUGCAUAGUUUUAAGCCACUAAGUUGGUGGGGAUUUGUCACAGCAGCAGUUGGAAACUAAUACACCAUGGCGGCGAUUUUCUCAAUGUGAGUGAAUAAAUUGGCAUUUUGAUUUA
This is a long non-coding RNA of Canis lupus familiaris (dog), 948 nucleotides long. RefSeq lists it as uncharacterized. Lineage: Eukaryota; Metazoa; Chordata; Mammalia; Carnivora; Canidae. The record is from RefSeq and is a predicted model, not a curated record. The transcript has 6 exons.